RNAcentral lists this ribosomal RNA (274 nucleotides) under uncultured bacterium. RNAcentral describes it as "partial 16S ribosomal RNA". It matches the Rfam family "Bacterial small subunit ribosomal RNA", at positions 523 to 796 of the family's 1533-position model. The record is from RNAcentral.
AUACGAAGGGGGCAAGCGUUGUUCGGAAUAACUGGGCGUAAAGCGCACGUAGGCGGAAUGUUAAGUUAGAGGUGAAAUCCCAGGGCUCAACCCUGGAACUGCCUUUAAUACUGGCAAUCUAGAGACCGAGAGAGGUGAGUGGAAUUCCGAGUGUAGAGGUGAAAUUCGUAGAUAUUCGGAGGAACACCAGUGGCGAAGGCGGCUCACUGGCUCGGUACUGACGCUGAGGUGCGAAAGCGUGGGGAGCAAACAGAAUUAGAUACCCCUGUAGUCC